CGGGGAUAGGGCGCCGACCACGAGCUCCGCCCUUCUGCGAAGGGGUCUGGGAAGUCGGGGCUUUCAGAAGCUGUACGCUUAGUUGCUGCCCUCUUGCGCAUCUUAUCUACGGGUUUCACCUUUCCAACUCUGCUGUUGGGUUCUGCACUAGCUUCCAUACUUGGAGACUGAGGAGGAGAGGAACGUAGUGAAAGGAAGGAAACUAGAACUGAGACUGUUCGUCACUGAGGGACCUUUGUCUGAGAGACGGACUCUUAACUCUGUAGUAGUAUCUUGGCCUCUAACCUGCUCUUAACCCGUCCUUUUUUUUUUCCUCGCUAGUCCUCUCCCCAUAUUCUCACUUUCUCUCUGGUCUUAACGAAAGGAAAUACGGCAAGAUGAGCUAUGCAGAAAGGUGCUACAUAACGUGAUGUGUGAACCAGAAAGAACUGAAAAACAGUGAUAUCAGAAAGCCUUCUGCAAGAACACGUGCAUAAACUUUGAUUCUGUCAGUACUUCAUUUCUGUCCUACAAUAUAGCAGGAAGAAGUUCUUAAAAGCUUGCAAAAAUCAUCUGCCCUUAGGGGGUGGUUGCCACCUGUCGAGACAACCCCACCACGUAGUGAGGAGGUGAGUGGAAGGUCUGUAUGUCAUUGGCUUUAACCCUCUACAAGGCCAAGCUCCAGGAUCGGAAAGC
RNAcentral lists this long non-coding RNA (675 nucleotides) under Marmota monax (woodchuck). Lineage: Eukaryota; Metazoa; Chordata; Mammalia; Rodentia; Sciuridae. The record is from RNAcentral.